CUACGGGAGGCAGCAGUGGGGAAUAUUGGACAAUGGGCGAAAGCCUGAUCCAGCAAUGCCGCGUGAGUGAUGAAGGCCUUAGGGUUGUAAAGCUCUUUUACCAGGGAUGAUAAUGACAGUACCUGGAGAAUAAGCUCCGGCUAACUCCGUGCCAGCAGCCGCGGUAAUACGGAGGGAGCUAGCGUUGUUCGGAAAUACUGGGCGUAAAGCGAACGUAGGCGGUCUAGUAAGUCAGGGGUGAAAUCCCGGAGCUCAACUCCGGAACUGCCCUUGAAACUACUAAACUAGAAUCCUGGAGAGGUCAGUGGAAUUCCGAGUGUAGAGGUGAAAUUCGUAGAUAUUCGGAAGAACACCAGUGGCGAAGGCGACUGACUGGACAGGUAUUGACGCUGAGGUUCGAAAGCGUGGGGAGCAAACAGGAUUAGAUAACCCUGGUAGUCCACCCCGUAAACGAUGAUAACUAGCUGUCCGGGCUCAUAGAGCUUGGGUGGCGCAGCUAACGCAUUAAGUAUUCCGCCUGGGGAGUACGGUCGCAAGAUUAAAACUCAA
This 549-nucleotide ribosomal RNA is filed under the name Sphingomonadaceae bacterium enrichment culture DGGE band M81B7. RNAcentral's name for it is "bacterial SSU rRNA". It matches the Rfam family "Bacterial small subunit ribosomal RNA", at positions 339 to 904 of the family's 1533-position model. RNAcentral also lists the same sequence under 1 other name. The record is from RNAcentral. Lineage: Bacteria; Pseudomonadati; Pseudomonadota; Alphaproteobacteria; Sphingomonadales; Sphingomonadaceae.